RNAcentral lists this ribosomal RNA (253 nucleotides) under uncultured bacterium. RNAcentral describes it as "partial 16S ribosomal RNA". It matches the Rfam family "Bacterial small subunit ribosomal RNA", at positions 524 to 776 of the family's 1533-position model. The record is from RNAcentral.
UACGGAGGGGGCUAGCGUUGUUCGGAAUUACUGGGCGUAAAGCGUACGUAGGCGGCUUUGUAAGUUAGAGGUGAAAGCCCGGGGCUCAACUCCGGAAUUGCCUUUAAGACUGCAUCGCUAGAAUCAUGGAGAGGUGAGUGGAAUUCCGAGUGUAGAGGUGAAAUUCGUAGAUAUUCGGAAGAACACCAGUGGCGAAGGCGGUUCUCUGGGCAUGACCUGACGCUGAGGAGCGAAAGUGUGGGGAGCGAACAGG